Molecule: ribosomal RNA, 700 nt
Filed under: uncultured bacterium
Lineage: Bacteria
Description: bacterial SSU rRNA
Rfam family: Bacterial small subunit ribosomal RNA
Source: RNAcentral
UGCAAGUCGGACGGAUCUCCGUUUGAAGGGCAACUGGAAGAUGGAGGUUAGUGGCGGACGGGUGAGUAACACGUAGUUAACCUACCCUUGAGCGGGGGACAACCCAGGGAAACUUGGGCUAAUACCGCAUAAGACCACGGACUGGGAUGUUUGUGGGAAAAGCAGCGAUGCGCUUGGGGAUGGGACUGCGGCCUAUCAGGUAGUUGGCGGGGUAAAGGCCCACCAAGCCUACGACGGGUAGCCGGUCUGAGAGGACGAACGGCCACACUGGGACUGAGACACGGCCCAGACUCCUACGGGAGGCAGCAGUGGGGAAUCUUGCACAAUGGGCGAAAGCCUGAUGCAGCGACGCCGCGUGGAGGAUGAAGGCCUUCGGGUUGUAAACUCCUUUUGUAGGGGACAAUAAUGAUGGUAGCGGGGUGAAUAAGCCACGGCUAACUCUGUGCCAGCAGCCGCGGUAAGACAGAGGUGGCGAGCGUUGUUCGGAAUUACUGGGCUUAAAGGGCGCGUAGGCGGUGGGGUAAGUCUGAGGUGGAAUGCCACAGCCCAACUGUGGAACUGCCUUGGAAACUGCUUCACUUGAGUUAGACAGGGGAAGGCGGAAUUCCUGGUGUAGCGGUGAAAUGCGUAGAUAUCAGGAGGAAGGCCAGUGGUGAAGACGGCCUUCUGGGUCUUAACUGACGCUGAGGCGCGAAAGCGU